Long non-coding RNA from Eriocheir sinensis (Chinese mitten crab), 2194 nucleotides. RefSeq lists it as uncharacterized. The transcript has 3 exons. Lineage: Eukaryota; Metazoa; Arthropoda; Malacostraca; Decapoda; Varunidae. The record is from RefSeq and is a predicted model, not a curated record.
GCUCUUGAGCUGUCUCCUUUGUUUAAAGAAAAUAAUAGUUAAAUAAAUGGAAGUUGGCCGCCAAUGCUUCCAACACAUUUUGGUGCCAUAUCUACAAGUGGCUGGUGACUGUAAGCAUCUCAGCAACCUGCAUGCAUCUAUGCCAUUCCUAUCAUGGUGCAUGGAGCAAGCUUCACAUAACACUCAGACAGAGACAGUUUAAUUAUGGUUACAUAUCAGACUCAGUUUAUUGCUCAGUCUAUUAGAUGCAGUGCUGUUAAUAUUGUUAGUGGUAGUAUUAGUACAAUUAAUGUAUUUAUUUUAAUUAAUUUAUCAUUAUUUAUUUACUAUAUUCUUAGUGUUUGAAAAUUCCAAUACUAGCAUUAAGAUAAACAAAAAUAUCAGAAAUAUAUUUAUACUCAUUAAUUAUUAUUGCUUUUCUUAUUAUUACUUCCUUCAAUGUCCUGGCACUUUGACAUCUAGUGUUUUUCUGUCUAGCAGCCAAAACUGUGGUCUUUCUGAAUGUGUAUGUCCUAAGUCUUCAUUGAUGUAUCUAGCUAUAUAACAGAAAUCUGCAUCUCUCUCCCUUCUCACCCAGUUGUCCCCGUACAUCCUUUCAGUAUCCAAAGAAUUUCAAUUUACAUCUUGUAAUCACUCAACUAAUGCAGUGCAAUCCUCAUCUCUGUAUUUUACUGUGUGGACAUACUCUUUCCUUCCAUGUUCCACUGUCGUUUGUUAUUCCACAUCUAACACAACUACAUCCCAACAGAUCCGAACACGUCCGAUAUCAUCCAAGAGAAUGUGGCAGCUGAAGGGGGAGAGGCCAAGGGUGAAGACAUUUAGCCACCCCCCCUGAAGUACAUGGCAUCAUUCAACCCUCUUGGUGAGCUGCAGGAAUGUGCUUCCCAUUGCAGUGCACCAGCUCCAUGUACUGAUUUUGGUGUGAACUUGAUGGGGUUGGAGGAAACUCGACUUGGCCAUCAAGCUCACCACAAUAUAACAUGAAAAGUGAAAAUUGCUGCACAUAACAGUCUGUCGUCUGCACAGGGAGGCAAGGCAGCUCAAAGCCCAGGCUGUUACAAAUCCUGGGCAGUUUUUGCCCAGAGCCAGCAAUUUUUUAGAUCCAAUAGGAAUGGAUUUUUUCUGAGGUCAGGUUCAACAUGCUGCAAGAUGCCAAGAUCUAAGCCUAGUAGGAGAUAUGGGUUACAAGAGAGGAGGUUUGCUCUGGCCUUAUACUUUCAAAGUCCAAAUGCUAAUAGAUUUCUGAGCACAGUAUUUCACUUGUCUUCAGUUUCAACACUUUACUCAUGACUCAGGGGUAUUUCAGUACAUGUUGGCUGGAGCAAACAGACUCUGACAGCCCUGCAGCAAAGAGCACAGGCUUUGUCAAAAGAAGAGAAACUUUGUGGGAUUUGCCAUUAUUUAGUAUUACUCUUGUUACGCCAAGAAUUUUUUUCCAUAUACUUUGCCAAAUAUUGCAAGUAAUGCACCAUUGUUGGGCUUGCUUGUUAUAAAUCAGAUCUUGUUCAAUUAACAAGCUUUGGGUGUCUGCCACUUUCCAGUUGUAAUGCAAGGAAUCAUUUAUCUUCCCUGCUAGAUAUCACACGUAAUGCACCAUUGUUGGUUUUGCCUGUUUUAAAUCAGAUCUUGUUCAGUUAAAAAGCUUUAGGUGUCUGCCACUUUCCAAUUGUAAUGCAAGGAAUCCCCUGCCAGAUAUCGCAUGUAAUGCACCAUUGUUGGUUUUGCCUAUUAUAAAUCAGAUCUUGUUCAGCUCACAAGCUUUGAAUAUCUACCAUUGUUUAUUUUAGGUGUAAUGCUUGGAAGCAUUUGUUCUCUUACCUACCCAACAGUAUGCAAUAUUUUAUUGUGGAUUUUGCCUGUUAUAUUUAAUCUUGUUCAGGUAACAAGCUUUUGGUGUCUGCCUUACCUAAUAUGUCCUGCAGUGACACUUGGCUUGGUUUCAUUAUUACUUUCAUAAUGUGAAAUACAGCAUGUAAUUUCAUCACACUAAGUGUCUAUCAUCACGUGUCUGGCAUCAUUAAUGUGGCUUCCAGGAGUAAUCUUGUUUGUAUUACAGCUUGCAAAUUUUUUUCUGCUUUAUACGAUAUACAUAAUCACAUAGGUAUGAUUUACAAAAUGUAAUGGCAGUUGAUAUUUUUGACUAAUGCCUCAUAAACCUUGUGAAAAAUAAUGCUUUUUUUGAAAGGGGGGGGGG